UAAGGCAUAAUCAAUUAUGUGCAGGGAGAGAGCAUGCAGGUCAGUGGAGAAAGCACGGAUAAGGUUGCAGCGAAAAAAGAUCUAGUUCGUGAACUUUCUUUAUCCAUCGGCAACUUCUUCUCCGAUGACGACAGCUUCUUCUUCUUUCUUUCCUAGGGCGGGAUCGUUGUUGAGUUGCUCUUCGAAAACUCUCUCCGCUUUCUCCUCGUUCAACACGUUCUCUGUUUUUGUCGCCGGCAGUGAGAGCAAGGCGGCGAUGACGAGCGUGUGGUGAAACUGCAUGAAGAACACAACCACGGCGAUGAACUCCACCUAGAUCUGAGAUCCGCUCCUCCCUGUGCUUUUUUUCAGGUGGAUCUCCUCCGCCGACGUCUCCAACACUAUCUACGGGUGGAUCUUCAAGUUUUUGAUUUUGUAGAUCUGGAGGAACUCAAAUCUAUAAGUCUUCGUUUUGUAGAUCUACAAAAAAUCAAAUCUACAAAUUUUUGCAAUGCUCCGAUCUCACAACGACUUUGAAGACAGAUCUUAAAAACCCAGUUCUUCGAAGACACAUCUUCAAAACAUAUUUUUUCAGUAUAAGCAUGCGGUUAUGCUUUUCAUUUUUUUUUUUAAAUGUCUUAUGUUUGCUCUAUAAUAUAAUCGUUUUGUGAGAACAACAAAUACUUGAAGUGAGUUUCUUGUUUACAACUAUACAAUAAUGGUAGCUUUUGUGUUUAUUCUUCUUUUUGUUCAAACAUAAUGAUUCUUGUUUUCA
This is a long non-coding RNA of Glycine soja, 754 nucleotides long. RefSeq lists it as uncharacterized. Lineage: Eukaryota; Viridiplantae; Streptophyta; Magnoliopsida; Fabales; Fabaceae. The transcript is spliced from 2 exons. The record is from RefSeq and is a predicted model, not a curated record.